Molecule: long non-coding RNA, 588 nt
Filed under: Marmota monax (woodchuck)
Lineage: Eukaryota; Metazoa; Chordata; Mammalia; Rodentia; Sciuridae
Source: RNAcentral
GAAAAAUAAGAGACCCAGAAUAGCUAAAGCAAUCCUUAGCAGGAAAAGUGAAGCAGGUAGCAUCGCUAUACCAGACCUUAAACUAUACUUAUAGAGCAAUAGUAACAAAAACAGCAUGGUAUUGGCACCAAAACAGAAUGGUAGACCAAUGGUACAGAAUAGAGGACACAGAGACUAACCCACAAAAAUACAAUUAUAUUAGAGAUGCCAAAAACAUGCACUGGAGAAAAGAUAGCCUCUUCAACAAAUGGUGCUGGGAAAACUGGAAAUCCAUAUGCAACAAAAUGAAAUUAAACCCCUGUCUCUCACCAUGCACAAAACUUAUCCCAAAAUGGAUCAAGGAACUAGGAAUUAAACCAGAAACUCUGCAUCUAAUAGAAGAAAAAGUAGGCCCUAAUCUUCAUCAUGUGGGAUUAGGCCCCAACUUCCUUAAUAAGACUCCUAUAGCUGUAAUGUUAAGUCAUUUAUUUGUUGACUUUUUUCUUCUUUUAAGGAAUGAACUUCAUGCAAUUAACUUUCCUCUUAGUACUGCCUUCAUAGUGUCCCAGAGAUUUCAGUACGUUGUAUUUGAUUUCUCAUUCACCUCUA